RNAcentral lists this ribosomal RNA (515 nucleotides) under uncultured bacterium. RNAcentral's name for it is "partial 16S ribosomal RNA". It matches the Rfam family "Bacterial small subunit ribosomal RNA", at positions 28 to 523 of the family's 1533-position model. The record is from RNAcentral.
GAUGAACGCUGGCGGCGUGCCUAAUACAUGCAAGUCGAGCGAAUGGAUUAAGAGCUUGCUCUUAUGAAGUUAGCGGCGGACGGGUGAGUAACACGUGGGUAACCUGCACAUAAGACUAGGAUAACUCCGGGAAACCGGGGCUAAUACCGGAUAACAUUUUGAACCGCAUGGUUCGAAAUUGACAGGCGGCUUCGGCUGUCACUUAGGGAUGGACCCGCGUCGCAUUAGCAAGUUGGUGAGGUAACGGCUCACCAAGGCAACGAUGCGUAGCCGACCUGAGAGGGUGAUCGGCCACACUGGGACUGAGACACGGCCCAGACUCCUACGGGAGGCAGCAGUAGGGAAUCUUCCGCAAUGGACGAAAGUCUGACGGAGCAACGCCGCGUGAGUGAUGAAGGCUUUCGGGUCGUAAAACUCUGUUGUUAGGGAAGAACAAGUGCUAGUUGAAUAAGCUGGCACCUUGACGGUACCUAACCAGAAAGCCACGGCUAACUACGUGCCAGCCGCCGCGGUAA